CUGAUGGGCGCGUUCGGGUCAAUUGCGGCCUGCAACACCCGAUCUCACUCGUGACCACCGACGAGGUGGACGAGGGGGAGCGCGUGACCGUCAG
This 94-nucleotide non-coding RNA is filed under the name unclassified sequences. Its description in RNAcentral is "L4-Archaeoglobi ribosomal protein leader". It matches the Rfam family "L4-Archaeoglobi ribosomal protein leades". The record is from RNAcentral.